AGAUAAAAAUUACUAAGCGCCUACAAUUAAUUGGUUGUUUAUAAGUCAGAAUAGCAAAUGAGAUAUUAUGUGAAAGGUUGUGCUAAUACUGGAUCCUUUAUGGGUCUGUAGCUCAGUUGGUUAGAGCACACGCUUGAUAAGCGUGGGGUCGGUGGUUCAAGUCCACCCAGACCCACCAAGAUUGGGGGGUGUAGCUCAGCUGGGAGAGCACCUGCUUUGCAAGCAGGGGGUCAUCGGUUCGAUCCCGUUCACCUCCACCAUAAUAGUAUUUGGUUUAAUGAAAAUAAAUUAGUUAUAAAUUAACUGAUUUAGAUUUGUUGAGGAUAGGCAAAAAUAUCUCAUUUAUUGUUAUGAUUUUGCUCUUUAAAAAUAUAGAAAA
This 379-nucleotide transfer RNA is filed under the name uncultured Nitrosomonas sp. Its description in RNAcentral is "partial 16S-23S ribosomal RNA intergenic spacer". The stretch from base 102 to 175 matches the Rfam family "tRNA". The record is from RNAcentral. Lineage: Bacteria; Pseudomonadati; Pseudomonadota; Betaproteobacteria; Nitrosomonadales; Nitrosomonadaceae.